UUGAGCGGGGGACAACAUUUGGAAACGAAUGCUAAUACCGCAUAACAACUUUAAACACAAGUUUUAAGUUUGAAAGAUGCAAUUGCAUCACUCAAAGAUGAUCCCGCGUUGUAUUAGCUAGUUGGUGAGGUAAAGGCUCACCAAGGCGAUGAUACAUAGCCGACCUGAGAGGGUGAUCGGCCACAUUGGGACUGAGACACGGCCCAAACUCCUACGGGAGGCAGCAGUAGGGAAUCUUCGGCAAUGGACGAAAGUCUGACCGAGCAACGCCGCGUGAGUGAAGAAGGUUUUCGGAUCGUAAAACUCUGUUGGUAGAGAAGAACGUUGGUGAGAGUGGAAAGCUCAUCAAGUGACGGUAACUACCCAGAAAGGGACGGCUAACUACGUGCCAGCAGCCGCGGUAAUACGUAGGUCCCGAGCGUUGUCCGGAUUUAUUGGGCGUAAAGCGAGCGCAGGUGGUUUAUUAAGUCUGGUGUAAAAGGCAGUGGCUCAACCAUUGUAUGCAUUGGAAACUGGUAGACUUGAGUGCAGGAGAGGAGAGUGGAAUUCCAUGUGUAGCGGUGAAAUGCGUAGAUAUAUGGAGGAACACCGGUGGCGAAAGCGGCUCUCUGGCCUGUAACUGACACUGAGGUUCGAAAGCGUGGGGAGCAAACAGGAUUAGAUACCCUGGUAGUCCACGCCGUAAACGAUGAGUGCUAGAUGUAGGGAGCUAUAAGUUCUCUGUAUCGCAGCUA
This 734-nucleotide ribosomal RNA is filed under the name Lactococcus lactis. RNAcentral describes it as "bacterial SSU rRNA". It matches the Rfam family "Bacterial small subunit ribosomal RNA", at positions 132 to 854 of the family's 1533-position model. The record is from RNAcentral. Lineage: Bacteria; Bacillati; Bacillota; Bacilli; Lactobacillales; Streptococcaceae.